RNAcentral lists this ribosomal RNA (403 nucleotides) under uncultured bacterium. RNAcentral describes it as "bacterial SSU rRNA". It matches the Rfam family "Bacterial small subunit ribosomal RNA", at positions 28 to 434 of the family's 1533-position model. The record is from RNAcentral.
GACGAACGCUGGCGGCGUGCUUAACACAUGCAAGUCGAGCGGUAAGGCCCUUUCGGGGGUACACGAGCGGCGAACGGGUGAGUAACACGUGGGUGACCUGCCCUCAGCUCUGGGAUAAGCCUGGGAAACCGGGUCUAAUACCGGAUAUGACUCCAUGACGCAUGUUGUGGGGUGAAAGCCUUGUGCGGCUGAGGAUGGGCCCGCGGCCUAUCAGCUUGUUGGUGGGGUGAUGGCCUACCAAGGCGACGACGGGUAGCCGGCCUGAGAGGGCGACCGGCCACACUGGGACUGAGACACGGCCCAGACUCCUACGGGAGGCAGCAGUGGGGAAUCUUGCGCAAUGGGCGAAAGCCUGACGCAGCGACGCCGCGUGAGGGAUGACGGCCUGGUGUAACGUACUUCU